This 498-nucleotide ribosomal RNA is filed under the name uncultured bacterium. RNAcentral describes it as "partial 16S ribosomal RNA". It matches the Rfam family "Bacterial small subunit ribosomal RNA", at positions 30 to 523 of the family's 1533-position model. The record is from RNAcentral.
AUUGAAUGCUGGCGGCAUGCCUUACACAUGCAAGUCGAACGGCAACAGGUCUUCGGAUGCUGACGAGUGGCGAACGGGUGAGUAAUACAUCGGAACGUGCCUAGUAGUGGGGGAUAACUACUCGAAAGAGUGGCUAAUACCGCAUGAGAUCUACGGAUGAAAGCAGGGGAUCGCAAGACCUUGUGCUACUAGAGCGGCCGAUGGCAGAUUAGGUAGUUGGUGGGAUAAAAGCUUACCAAGCCGACGAUCUGUAGCUGGUCUGAGAGGGCGAUCAGCCACACUGGGACUGAGACACGGCCCAGACUCCUACGGGAGGCAGCAGUGGGGAAUUUUGGACAAUGGGCGAAAGCCUGAUCCAGCAAUGCCGCGUGCAGGAUGAAGGCCUUCGGGUUGUAAACUGCUUUUGUACGGAACGAAAAGCCCCGGGUUAAUACCCUGGGGUCAUGACGGUACCGUAAGAAUAAGCACCGGCUAACUACGUGCCAGCCGCCGCGGUAA